CCUACGGGAGGCAGCAGUGGGGAAUAUUGCGCAAUGGGCGAAAGCCUGACGCAGCGACGCCGCGUGCGGGAUGAAGGUCUUCGGAUCGUAAACCUCUGUCAGCAGGGAAGAACGGUCACUGUGCUAAUCAGCAGUGAAUUGACGGUACCUGCAAAGGAAGCACCGGCUAACUCCGUCCCAGCAGCCGCGGUAAUACGGAGGGUGCGAGCGUUAAUCGGAUUUACUGGGCGUAAAGCGCUCGUAGGCGGUAUGUCAAGUCAAGGGUGAAAUCCCCGCGCUCAACGUGGGAACUGCCUGUGAUACUGGCAAGCUAGAGUGUGUGAGAGGAUAGUGGAAUUCCAGGUGUAGGAGUGAAAUCCGUAGAGAUCUGAAGGAACAUCAGUGGCGAAGGCGACUAUCUGGCACAUAACUGACGCUGAGGAGCGAAAGCGUGGGUAGCAAACAGGAUUAGAUACCCGUGUAGUC
This 465-nucleotide ribosomal RNA is filed under the name uncultured bacterium. RNAcentral's name for it is "partial 16S ribosomal RNA". It matches the Rfam family "Bacterial small subunit ribosomal RNA", at positions 338 to 795 of the family's 1533-position model. The record is from RNAcentral.